CGGGUGAGUAACGCGUGAGGAACCUGCCUCAAAGAGGGGGACAACAGUUGGAAACGACUGCUAAUACCGCAUAAGCCCACGGCUCGGCAUCGAGCAGAGGGAAAAGGAGUGAUCCGCUUUGAGAUGGCCUCGCGUCCGAUUAGCUAGUUGGCGAGGUAGCGGCCCACCAAGGCAACGAUCGGUAGCCGGACUGAGAGGUUGAACGGCCACAUUGGGACUGAGACACGGCCCAG
Molecule: ribosomal RNA, 233 nt
Filed under: uncultured bacterium
Lineage: Bacteria
Description: partial 16S ribosomal RNA
Rfam family: Bacterial small subunit ribosomal RNA
Source: RNAcentral